UUUGAUGGCGACCGGCGCACGGGUGAGUAACACGUAUCCAACCUGCCGAUGACUCGGGGAUAGCCUUUCGAAAGAAAGAUUAAUACCCGAUGGCAUAGUUCUUCCGCAUGGUGGAACUAUUAAAGAAUUUCGGUCAUCGAUGGGGAUGCGUUCCAUUAGGUUGUUGGCGGGGUAACGGCCCACCAAGCCUUCGAUGGAUAGGGGUUCUGAGAGGAAGGUCCCCCACAUUGGAACUGAGACGCGGUCCAAACUCCUACGGGAGGCAGCAUG
Molecule: ribosomal RNA, 270 nt
Filed under: uncultured bacterium
Lineage: Bacteria
Description: partial 16S ribosomal RNA
Rfam family: Bacterial small subunit ribosomal RNA
Source: RNAcentral